AUUGAGUUUGAUCCUGGCUCAGGACGAACGCUGGCGGCGUGCUUAACACAUGCAAGUCGAACGAUGAACCACUUCGGUGGGGAUUAGUGGCGAACGGGUGAGUAACACGUGGGCAAUCUGCCCUUCACUCUGGGACAAGCCCUGGAAACGGGGUCUAAUACCGGAUACGAGCUUCCUCCGCAUGGUGGAAGUUGGAAAGCUCCGGCGGUGAAGGAUGAGCCCGCGGCCUAUCAGCUUGUUGGUGAGGUAACGGCUCACCAAGGCGACGACGGGUAGCCGGCCUGAGAGGGCGACCGGCCACACUGGGACUGAGACACGGCCCAGACUCCUACGGGAGGCAGCAGUGGGGAAUAUUGCACAAUGGGCGAAAGCCUGAUGCAGCGACGCCGCGUGAGGGAUGACGGCCUUCGGGUUGUAAACCUCUUUCAGCAGGGAAGAAGCGAAAGUGACGGUACCUGCAGAAGAAGCGCCGGCUAACUACGUGCCAGCAGCCGCGGUA
Molecule: ribosomal RNA, 499 nt
Filed under: uncultured bacterium
Lineage: Bacteria
Description: bacterial SSU rRNA
Rfam family: Bacterial small subunit ribosomal RNA
Source: RNAcentral